This is a long non-coding RNA of Nerophis lumbriciformis (worm pipefish), 1279 nucleotides long. RefSeq lists it as uncharacterized. NCBI's taxonomy places the organism in Eukaryota, Metazoa, Chordata, Actinopteri, Syngnathiformes, Syngnathidae. The record is from RefSeq and is a predicted model, not a curated record.
UCCAGAAGCCAACCAUCAGACUCAGAGUUGGGGUCUCCGUGUCUCAGCACGUUCUCUAGAGACGUCUGGAGGUAACGAACCCCUGUCAACACCGACAACUACAACAAGGACAAGAGAGUCUAUGACUAUGAUUUAUUCCUAUCACAUAUGAAUCGUCUAUUGUUUUCUACAGAAUAUGAUAGGAUAGGACAUAGUAAGAAAAUUGAAUACCUGCAGCAAACAAACAACAAUGGAGGACAUUCAGCAUCUUAUGUUGUGUAUAGUGUCCAGCAUCCACUCUUUAUGUACACCUCCACAAUGGUUGGUACCCCAAAAGAAAUGUGCCAGUAAGUAAUUGUAUGCGUUUCGCAAAUUGACUUUCUGUCCAAUUUCCAUGCCAUUUUUCUCCUGUUAAUGGUCACAGCAGAGGCUGGAGCCUACUCAAGUGAUUUAGAGCAACACACUCUUUCCACCGAUCAGCUCUACUUUUGAACCCAUCGGUUGAAAUGAGACACGCUAACAAACAACCAAGAUGGAUUUUAUCCUAAGGAGACUGCAUGAGGGCAGCAAGAAAAAAGGUUGAAUAAAAUAUUGAAGCAUCCAGACCUAAGGCACAGCAAAAAGAGAGACGAAGGACAUCAAGAAAACAAAGUCUGUGUAGUAAAAUACUGCUGUGUUGAGCGCUAAGGCACAACAACAAGUUAAGCUAACAUGACCCUGUGUUUAUUUUUGUCAUUCUCAACAAUUAAGCUAACAUUAGCAUGUGUUUUUUUUUGUCAAUCUCUUUGAUAGGGGAAUUGUGAACCUCAAGAAAACAAAGAACGUGAAAUAGAAUACUGCAGUGUCCAGAGCUAAGGCACUACAACAUGGUAAAUCUUUUUUGAAAAGGUCCCAGGAGGCUCAUUUGGUCAUGAUUACAGACGACUGGCCACAACCGAAUCUCAUGUCAAUGAAAGGACACAAAAGAACAAGCUUACCCAAAAGCAAAAGAAAAAGCCACAGACAACAACAAAUUUUGACAAGGAAUAAAAAUGUUUUCAAAUCUAAUCUCAAAACAUCAUAAAUGUGAUGUAUCUGUACAUGAUUCUCAUUCAACAGUAACAAAGCCAAUACCAUCACAACCAUGAGCUUUAGUGUUAAUGUUGCGAUAUGCCCAGGUGCCCAAUAUGCCCUUCACGCUGUUAAAUUCAAGAUACAACUGAUGCAAUUGCAGAUUCAAGGGAGAUUUGCAUACUGCAUGAACUUCAAUAUGAAGCAUAAGGUUGUUUUCAAGAACUUUUACAUAUGUUCUGUCUUUUGG